AUGAGGCAAAGAGCUUGACCAGAAGGUCAGCC
Molecule: small RNA, 32 nt
Filed under: Bombyx mori (domestic silkworm)
Lineage: Eukaryota; Metazoa; Arthropoda; Insecta; Lepidoptera; Bombycidae
Description: ovarian small RNA-12572
Source: RNAcentral